Molecule: ribosomal RNA, 720 nt
Filed under: uncultured Glomerales
Lineage: Eukaryota; Fungi; Glomeromycota; Glomeromycetes; Glomerales; Glomeraceae
Description: SSU rRNA
Rfam family: Eukaryotic small subunit ribosomal RNA
Source: RNAcentral
GGGUAACGGGGUGUUAGGGCACGACACCGGAGAGGGAGCCUGAGAAACGGCUACCACAUCCAAGGAUGGCAGCAGGCGCGCAAAUUACCCAAUCCCGACACGGGGAGGUAGUGACAAUAAAUAACAAUAUAGGGUUCUUUUGGAUCUUGUAAUUGGAAUGAGUACAAUUUAAAUCUCUUAACGAGGAACAAUUGGAGGGCAAGUCUGGUGCCAGCAGCCGCGGUAAUUCCAGCUCCAAUAGCGUAUAUUAAAGUUGUUGCAGUUAAAAAGCUCGUAGUUGAAUUUCGGGAUCAAUAUGUUGGUCGUGCCUUGGUACGUACUAAUUUAUUGGUUUCUUCCUUCUGACGAACCAUGAUGUCAUUAAUUUGGUGUCUUGGGGAAUCAGGACUGUUACUUUGAAAAAAUUAGAGUGUUUAAAGCAGGCUCACGCUUGAAUACAUUAGCAUGGAAUAAUGAAAUAGGACGUUUGAUUCUAUUUUGUUGGUUUCUAGGAUUGACGUAAUGAUUAAUAGGGAUAGUUGGGGGCAUUAGUAUUCAAUUGUCAGAGGUGAAAUUCUUGGAUUUAUUGAAGACUAACUACUGCGAAAGCAUUUGCCAAGGAUGUUUUCAUUAAUCAAGAACGAAAGUUAGGGGAUCGAAGACGAUCAGAUACCGUCGUAGUCUUAACCAUAAACUAUGCCGACUAGGGAUCGGAUGAUGUUAAUUUUUUAAUGACUCAUU